Molecule: ribosomal RNA, 253 nt
Filed under: uncultured bacterium
Lineage: Bacteria
Description: partial 16S ribosomal RNA
Rfam family: Bacterial small subunit ribosomal RNA
Source: RNAcentral
UACGGGGGGGGCAAGCGUUGUUCGGAAUUACUGGGCGUAAAGGGCUCGUAGGUGGCCAACUAAGUCAGACGUGAAAUCCCUCGGCUUAACCGGGGAACUGCGUCUGAUACUGGAUGGCUUGAGUUUGGGAGAGGGACGCGGAAUUCCAGGUGUAGCGGUGAAAUGCGUAGAUAUCUGGAGGAACACCGGUGGCGAAGGCGGCGUCCUGGACCAAUUCUGACACUGAGGCGCGAAGGCCAGGGGAGCAAACGGG